RNAcentral lists this ribosomal RNA (468 nucleotides) under uncultured bacterium. RNAcentral describes it as "partial 16S ribosomal RNA". It matches the Rfam family "Bacterial small subunit ribosomal RNA", at positions 28 to 507 of the family's 1533-position model. The record is from RNAcentral.
GACGAACGCUGGCGGCGUGCUUAACACAUGCAAGUCGAACGGAAAGGCCCUGCUUUUGUGGGGUGCUCGAGUGGCGAACGGGUGAGUAACACGUGAGUAACCUGCCCUUGACUUUGGGAUAACUUCAGGAAACUGGGGCUAAUACCGGAUAGGAGCUCCUGCUGCAUGGUGGGGGUUGGAAAGUUUCGGCGGUUGGGGAUGGACUCGCGGCUUAUCAGCUUGUUGGUGGGGUAGUGGCUUACCAAGGCUUUGACGGGUAGCCGGCCUGAGAGGGUGACCGGCCACAUUGGGACUGAGAUAAGGCCCAGACUCAUACGGGAGGCAGCAGUGGGGAAUAUUGCACAAUGGGCGGAAGCCUGAUGCAGCAACGCCGCGUGCGGGAUGACGGCCUUCGGGUUGUAAACCGCUUUCGCCUGUGACGAAGCGUGAGUGACGGUAAUGGGUAAAGAAGCACCGGCUAACUACGUG